UACGUAGGCAGCGAGCGUUGUUCGGAGUUACUGGGCGUAAAGGGUGUGUAGGCGGUUGUUUAAGUUUGGUGUGAAAUCUCCCGGCUCAACUGGGAGGGUGCGCCGAAUACUGAAUGACUUGGAGUGCGGGAGAGGAAAGUGGAAUUCCUGGUGUAGCGGUGAAAUGCGUAGAUAUCGGGAGGAACACCAGUGGCGAAGGCGACUUCCUGGCCUGUUCUUGACGCUGAGGCGCGAAAGCUAGGGUAGCAAACGGG
RNAcentral lists this ribosomal RNA (254 nucleotides) under uncultured bacterium. RNAcentral describes it as "partial 16S ribosomal RNA". It matches the Rfam family "Bacterial small subunit ribosomal RNA", at positions 524 to 776 of the family's 1533-position model. The record is from RNAcentral.